GUCUCGUGGCGCAAUGGGUCAGUGUGCCUGGCUGUUAACCAGAAGGUUGCUGGUUUGAGCCCACCCAGGGACG
Non-coding RNA from Podarcis lilfordi (Lilford's wall lizard), 73 nucleotides. The record is from the annotation of a GenBank genome assembly. NCBI's taxonomy places the organism in Eukaryota, Metazoa, Chordata, Lepidosauria, Squamata, Lacertidae.